Molecule: ribosomal RNA, 710 nt
Filed under: Roseovarius sp.
Lineage: Bacteria; Pseudomonadati; Pseudomonadota; Alphaproteobacteria; Rhodobacterales; Roseobacteraceae
Description: bacterial SSU rRNA
Rfam family: Bacterial small subunit ribosomal RNA
Source: RNAcentral
AGGGGCGGGGGCCUAACACAUGCAAGUCGAGCGAGAUCUUCGGAUCUAGCGGCGGACGGGUGAGUAACGCGUGGGAACGUACCCUCUUCUGCGGGAUAGCCACUGGAAACGGUGAGUAAUACCGCAUACGCCCUUCGGGGGAAAGAUUUAUCGGAGGAGGAUCGGCCCGCGUUGGAUUAGGUAGUUGGUGGGGUAAUGGCCUACCAAGCCUACGAUCCAUAGCUGGUUUUAGAGGAUGAUCAGCCACACUGGGACUGAGACACGGCCCAGACUCCUACGGGAGGCAGCAGUGGGGAAUCUUAGACAAUGGGCGCAAGCCUGAUCUAGCCAUGCCGCGUGAGUGACGAAGGCCUUAGGGUCGUAAAGCUCUUUCGCCUGUGAUGAUAAUGACAGUAGCAGGUAAAGAAACCCCGGCUAACUCCGUGCCAGCAGCCGCGGUAAUACGGAGGGGGUUAGCGUUGUUCGGAAUUACUGGGCGUAAAGCGCACGUAGGCGGAUUGGAAAGUAUGGGGUGAAAUCCCAGGGCUCAACCCUGGAACGGCCUCAUAAACUUCCAGUCUGGAGUUCGAGAGAGGUGAGUGGAAUUCCGAGUGUAGAGGUGAAAUUCGUAGAUAUUCGGAGGAACACCAGUGGCGAAGGCGGCUCACUGGCUCGAUACUGACGCUGAGGUGCGAAAGUGUGGGGAGCAAACAGGAUUAGAUACCCUGGUA